AUACGUAGGUGACAAGCGUUAUCCGGAUUUACUGGGCGUAAAGGGCGUGUAGGCGGUCUUGCAAGUCAGAAGUGAAAUUCCUGAGCUCAACUCGGGCGCUGCUUCUGAAACUGCAGGACUUGAGUGCUGGAGGGGAUAGCGGAAUUCCUAGUGGAGCGGUAAAAUGCGCAGAUAUUAGGAAGAACACCGGUGGCGAAGGCGGCUAUCUGGACAGUAACUGACGCUGAGGCGCGAAAGCGUGGGGAGCAAACAGGAUUAGAUACCCUGGUAGUCCUCGCCGUAAACGAUGAAUACUAGGUGUAGGGGGUAUCGACUCCCUCUGUGCCGCAGUUAACACAAUAAGUAUUCCGCCUGGGGAGUACGGCCGCAAGGUUGAAACUCAAAUGAAUUGGCGGGG
Molecule: ribosomal RNA, 397 nt
Filed under: uncultured bacterium
Lineage: Bacteria
Description: partial 16S ribosomal RNA
Rfam family: Bacterial small subunit ribosomal RNA
Source: RNAcentral